RNAcentral lists this unclassified non-coding RNA (1670 nucleotides) under Hevea brasiliensis (rubber tree). Lineage: Eukaryota; Viridiplantae; Streptophyta; Magnoliopsida; Malpighiales; Euphorbiaceae. The record is from RNAcentral.
CUAAGAUUUCUUCAAAGUUGCUCAUAAUCGUAACGUUCCUUCUUAGAAACGAAAAAGAUUGUGUUUAUGGGGGGCUACAUUUCCUCCUUUUUGUUUGUAACGAAAAACAUUGUGUUUAUGGGGCGCUACAUUUCAUCCACUCCAACAGUAGGCAGUGAGUUCCUUCCAUUUACAUUAAAAUGUUGUAUGCAGCUACUGCUAAUCAAGCUUUUCGUGCCAGCUCUUUCAAAUGUAUCCUGCCAAAUAAGUCUAAAUUGUUGCUCACGCUCCAAUCAUAUCUUUGCUAAGUAUCUUCAACUCCAAGUUGUUGAAGAGAAUCAGGGGCAAUAAGGAACACACGUCUAGAUGUUUGAAACCGGAAAACUACUAUUCCUUUAUAUGCUGCCCGUGGUACACCAUCCUUCCAUUCUUCAAAAAUUCCAAACUGUCGUGCGAUGUCUUCAAAGUCUAGUUGGUCUCUGUACUGAAUACGCACAUCACCAUCUAUGUUAAAUGCUUUCAAAACAGCAUCAGCUCCAUGGAUGGGCUUAGCCUUUUUAACCAAGUCUCCAAAGUGUUUUACAUAGUUGUCCUCCAAAAGGUAACUUAGGUCCAUUGACUUCCAAUCAACCUGGACAUCAUUUAGCUUAAUUGGCUCAAGAUACUGCUUAAAAAACUGCCCCAAACUAGAACCAUGCUCACCAAAAUUGUACGUUCUGCAAACUUCUGGGCGAAUAAAUUGUCGACCUCUGUGAUUUUCUUUGAGCCUCAGCCAGUCAUCCCAGUAAGCCUUCGGCCACUUUGGAGAUAGUUCGGACCAAGUUGAUUUUGAAAGCAUCCAUCCAAGACCAGGAAAAAAGUCUGAGCGGUAAAGAGCAUAAGGAUCUUGGACGAACUGCCUUUGUCCAUUGUCAUUCCAAGAUGAAAUAGCCAUAAUCGACUUGUCUCUGUCAAGAAGAGUAGCUCCAGCCUCAAAGUAGUCAAAAAAAUCAGCCGCAAUUUCCAUAUCAUCUUCUAGUAUGAUAACACGGCUAAAAUUAUGCUUGUGAAACAGCUGAUCCAAUGCCCACUUGUAAUGACGUGCAAUCUUGUAGUAUGCAACCAGUUCCCCUGGUCUUUCAGUAUGCACAGGUUCAAAAUCCAAGUGCUGCAUAUACGUCAGUUGAUCAUAGCUCAAAGCAAGCUUUCUAACAUCAGGAUUUGAUCCAUCCUGGGAUAUGAAAAGAGGAUAUUUUGAUGCAACAGAUGUUUGGUAUUUUAAGAUGGAUUUUAUAGUCUUCUCCAGGUAGUCAGAACGACUGCAAGCCAUAACAACUACAGCUGCCACUGGCAUCUGCACAUUUCCGAUUAACUUUUUUAUGCCCUUACUUUCAAGAUCCUGAACAAGAGCCCUUAAUUGUCGGCACUCCUGGUCCUGACGCUUCAUUUGUUCUUCAAGAGCCACUACUCUUCCUUGCUGCUGGCUAAUCUUGUCAAUAAGCAACCUAGUCUGACUUGUACAAUGAUUUUCUGCUUCAAUCGCAGCAGCAAGGCGGUCUGCAUAUUCUGACUGUGUCACGAAAAGCCGCAUCUGUAUGUAGAUGAAGGCGAGAGCAGCCACGACGAGAAGGUACCGUAAAUCAAAGCAAAACUUGUUUCCUCUCAUCUCUGCCAAAUGCGAAAUUGAAUUCUAAGGGUUUCUCAGUUCCGAG